GAUGAAGAACGUAGCGAAAUGCGAUAAGUAAUGUGAAUUGCAGAAUCCAGUGAAUCAUCGAAUCUUUGAACGCACAUUGCGCCCGCCAGUAUUCUGGCGGGCAUGCCUGUUCGAGCGUCAUUUCAACCAUCAAGCCCCAGGCUUGUGUUGGGGACCUGCGGCUGCCGCAGGCCCUGAAAACCAGUGGCGGGCUCGCUGUCACACCGGGCGUAGUAGAUUUUAUCUCGCUCAGGGCGUGCUGCGGGUUCCGGCCGUUAAAAAGCCUUUUUUACCCAAGGUUGACCUCGGAUCAGGUAGGAAGACCCGCUGAACUUAAGCAUAUCAAUAAGCGGAGGA
This 336-nucleotide unclassified non-coding RNA is filed under the name soil metagenome. RNAcentral describes it as "partial contains 5.8S ribosomal RNA, internal transcribed spacer 2, and large subunit ribosomal RNA". The stretch from base 1 to 120 matches the Rfam family "5.8S ribosomal RNA", at positions 35 to 154 of the family's 154-position model. The record is from RNAcentral.